GACGAACGCUGGCGGCGUGCUUAACACAUGCAAGUCGAGCGGUAAGGCCCUCGGGUACGACGAGCGGCGAACGGGUGAGUAACACGUGGGUGACCUGCCUCUAGCUCUGGGAGUAAGCCUGGGAAACGUAGGGUCGUAAUACCGGAUAUGACUCCACGGCGCAUGUUGUGGGGUGGGAAAGCCUUGUGUGGCUAGAGAUGGG
Molecule: ribosomal RNA, 202 nt
Filed under: uncultured bacterium
Lineage: Bacteria
Description: partial 16S ribosomal RNA
Rfam family: Bacterial small subunit ribosomal RNA
Source: RNAcentral